This 303-nucleotide ribosomal RNA is filed under the name Rhinusa canescens. Its description in RNAcentral is "partial 16S ribosomal RNA". The record is from RNAcentral. Lineage: Eukaryota; Metazoa; Arthropoda; Insecta; Coleoptera; Curculionidae.
AAGGUAGCAUAAUCAUUAGUUUUUUAAUUGAAAGCUUGUAUGAAGGGUUGGAUGAGAAAAUAACUGUCUCUACCUAAAUUUAUUAGAAUUUUAUUUUUAAGUAAAAAAGCUUAAAUAAAUAUUGAAGACGAGAAGACCCUAUAGAGUUUUAUAUUUUUAAUUAUUAAAUAUUUUAGUAUUAUAAAGGUUAAUAGUUAAAUUUAUUUAGUUGGGGUGAUUGAAAAAUUUAAUUAACUUUUUUUUUAUUUAUACAUUGAUUUAUGAAUAAUUGAUCCUUAUAUAAAGAUUAUAAGAUAAAAUUAC